RNAcentral lists this ribosomal RNA (509 nucleotides) under uncultured bacterium. Its description in RNAcentral is "partial 16S ribosomal RNA". The stretch from base 20 to 328 matches the Rfam family "Bacterial small subunit ribosomal RNA", at positions 47 to 358 of the family's 1533-position model. The record is from RNAcentral.
GACGAACGCUGGCGGCGUGCUUAACACAUGCAAGUCGAACGGAAAGGCCCUGCUUUUGUGGGGUGCUCGAGUGGCGAACGGGUGAGUAACACGUGAGUAACCUGCCCUUGACUUUGGGAUAACUUCAGGAAACUGGGGCUAAUACCGGAUAGGAGCUCCUGCUGCAUGGUGGGGGUUGGAAAGUUUCGGCGGUUGGGGAUGGACUCGCGGCUUAUCAGCUUGUUGGUGGGGUAGUGGCUUACCAAGGCUUUGACGGGUAGCCGGCCUGAGAGGGUGACCGGCGAGCGGGGGACAGACGUCGGGCCCACGUGGGCGGGGGAGGAGGGGGUGGGGUAUAGGAGCAGGGUGGGGGAGGGUGGAUGAAGCAGGGCGGGGUGGGGAUGGCGGGCUUUGGGGGUGACACCGCCGUGCGAGGGGGGAGAUGGGGGAGGGGGUGGGAGGGGAAAAGAAGCAGCGGCAAAUGACGUGCCAGCGGCGGGGGUAAGAGGGGGAGGUGCACGUGUGUGAAU